GAUGAACGCUGGCGGCGUGCCUAAUACAUGCAAGUCGAGCGAACGGACGAGAAGCUUGCUUCUCUGAUGUUAGCGGCGGACGGGUGAGUAACACGUGGAUAACCUACCUAUAAGACUGGGAUAACUUCGGGAAACCGGAGCUAAUACCGGAUCAUAUUUUGAACCGCAUGGUUCAAAAGUGAAAGACGGUCUUGCUGUCACUUAUAGAUGGAUCCGCGCUGCAUUAGCUAGUUGGUAAGGUAACGGCUUACCAAGGCAACGAUGCAUAGCCGACCUGAGAGGGUGAUCGGCCACACUGGAACUGAGACACGGUCCAGACUCCUACGGGAGGCAGCAGUAGGGAAUCUUCCGCAAUGGGCGAAAGCCUGACGGAGCAACGCCGCGUGUGUGAUGAAGGUCUUCGGAUCGUAAAACUCUGUUAUUAGGGAAGAACAUAUGUGUAAGUAACUGUGCACAUCUUGACGGUACCUAAUCAGAAAGCCACGGCUAACUACGUG
Molecule: ribosomal RNA, 497 nt
Filed under: uncultured bacterium
Lineage: Bacteria
Description: partial 16S ribosomal RNA
Rfam family: Bacterial small subunit ribosomal RNA
Source: RNAcentral